RNAcentral lists this transfer RNA (84 nucleotides) under Felis catus (domestic cat). It matches the Rfam family "tRNA". From Rfam's summary of the family: Transfer RNA (tRNA) molecules are approximately 80 nucleotides in length. Their secondary structure includes four short double-helical elements and three loops (D, anti-codon, and T loops). Lineage: Eukaryota; Metazoa; Chordata; Mammalia; Carnivora; Felidae. The record is from Rfam by way of RNAcentral.
GCCUGGGUGGCUCAGUCGGUUGAGCGUCCGACUUCGGCUCGGGUCACGAUCUCGCGUCCGUGAGUUCGAGCCCCGCGUCGGGCU